RNAcentral lists this non-coding RNA (98 nucleotides) under Bacillota bacterium. RNAcentral describes it as "Firmicutes bacterium TPP sequence". It matches the Rfam family "TPP riboswitch aptamer (THI element)". From Rfam's summary of the family: Vitamin B(1) in its active form thiamin pyrophosphate (TPP) is an essential coenzyme that is synthesised by coupling of pyrimidine and thiazole moieties in bacteria. The record is from RNAcentral. Lineage: Bacteria; Bacillati; Bacillota.
ACGUGUGAACAGGGGAGCCUAACGGCUGAGAUGCGCAAGCAAAACCCUCAACACCUGAUCUAGGUCAAACUAGCGUAGGGAGUUCAAUUCCUUACGCC